CUACCUACAAAAAUUUGAGUAGACAAUCCAAAUUGCACCAUGUAAUUUGCAAAUUGCAUCAUUCUUACCCCUCGGCCAUUGCAAUUGAACCAGAUCCAUCAAUCCAGUUGCAACAGAAUAGAUCCAUUUGCUCAACCAUGCUAACAACCAAUUACCCGAGUAGCUUUCUUGUAAGUUCUCUCUUAUUAUUUUUUCUUACAAGCAAUUCUCAAAACUAUAGUCUGAUAAACAAGAUAUGAUAUAGAUGUGACAAUCAAACUUGUACAGUCCCUAUAUCUUGAGAACUACGAAGAAUGGACCCAUUUGUAAAGUUAGAAAUAAAUAUAAAAGGAAUUUUUGUAAGUUAAAUGCACAAGUGACAUAAGCCAACAUCAACCUGGAAAUUAUUGUUUACUAAACGAACCCUCAAAUUUUUAUUUUUAUUUUUUUAUGCAGUAACACAAAAGGCCAUGAGUAAAGGUUCACGAGAAAAGAGAAUGAAAAAAUGGCACAAAGGAAAAGAUAUUGCUCAUUGGUACACCAAAAAGAAGAGGAAGCUGGACAUUACAAACAUGACCAUCUGAAAAAAAAAAUGAUUGGACAAUAAAUGAUUGGAAUUCAUAAUAAUUCUUGAACAUCUGAAAACAUUAAGCAAAAUAGAAACUAAGACAAUGUAAACACUAUCAACGUUUUUGAACAGCACAUCACAAUAGUAGUCCAAUGACAAGCCAAAAGGAAUGGUAAGCUUGCAUCAUAAGGAAUGGUUGAAUUAUAAAUAAUGUUCCAAGUAAAACCUUCAUUCUAACUAUUGAACUCAUUAUGUAAUGUGAUAAUUUUCUGACCUUCAAACACAAGGACGGUUCCAGGAAGCAGAUUAGAUAGUGGUUGGCCAGCAGUGCCAACAGUAAGAUGUCUUUGACAACUUUGACUUUAUUUUAUUUCAUAAAACAUGCAUCCAUAAAAAUAAAAGGAUAGAAAGGGAGAU
RNAcentral lists this long non-coding RNA (964 nucleotides) under Olea europaea subsp. europaea. The record is from RNAcentral. Lineage: Eukaryota; Viridiplantae; Streptophyta; Magnoliopsida; Lamiales; Oleaceae.